This 1197-nucleotide long non-coding RNA is filed under the name Mytilus galloprovincialis (Mediterranean mussel). The record is from RNAcentral. Lineage: Eukaryota; Metazoa; Mollusca; Bivalvia; Mytilida; Mytilidae.
AGCAUUUAGAGCAAAUCUGACAUAGGUAAAAUUGUUCAUCAGGUCAACAUCUAGCUGCCCUGAAAUUUUCAGAUGAAUCGGACAUUCCGUUGUUGGGUUGCUGCCCCUGAAAUGGUAAUUUUAAGGAAAUUUUGCUGUUUUUGGUUAUUAUCUUGAAUAUUAUUAUAGAUAGAGAUAAACUGUAAACAGCAAUAAUGUUCAGCAAAGUAAGAUCUACAAAUAAGUUAAACAUGACCAAAAUGGUCAGUUGACCACUUUAGGAGUUAUUGCCCUUUAUAGUCAAUUUUUAACCAUUUUUCGUAAAUCUUAGUAAUCUUUUAGAAAAUCUUCUCCUCUGAAACUACUGGGCCAAAUUUAACCAAACUUAACCAUAAUCAUCAUUGGGGUAUCUAGUUUAAAAAAUGUGUCCAGUGACUCGGCCAACCAACCAAGAUGGCUGCCAUGGCUAAAAAUAGAACAUCGGGAUAAAAUACAGUUUUUGGCUUAUAACUCAAAAACCAAAGCAUUUAGAGCAAAUUUGACAGGAUGUGAAAUUGUUUAUUAGGUGAAGAUCUGUCUGCCCUAAAAUUUUCAGAUGAAUCGGAUAACCGAUUGUUAGGUUGCUGCCCCUGAAUUGGUAAUUUUAAGGAAGUUUUGCCGUUUUUAGCUCACCUGGCCCAAAGGGCCAAGUGAGCUUUUCCCAUCACUUGGCGUCCGGCGUCCGUCGUCGUCUGGCGUCGUCCGUCGUCUGUCGUCCGUCGUCGUUAACUUUUACAAAAAUCUUCUCCUCUGAAACUACUGGGCCAAAUUUAACCAAACUUGGUCACAAUCAUCAUUGGGGUAUCUAGUUUAAAAAAUGUGUCCGGUGACCCGGCCAUCCAACCAAGAUGGCCGCCACGGCUAAAUAUAGAACAUAGGGGUAAAAUGCAGUUUUUGGCUUAUAACUCAAAAACCAAAGCAUUUAGAGCAAAUCUGACGUGAGUUAAAUUGUUCAUCAGGUCAAAAUCUAUCUGCCCUGAAAUUUUCAGAUGAAUCGGACAACCCGUUGUUGGGUUGCUGCCCCUGAAUUGGUAAUUUUAAGGAAAUUUUACUGUUUUGGUUUAUUAUCUUGAAUAUUAUUAUAGAUAGAGAUAAACUGUAAACAGCAAUAAUGUUCAGCAAAGUAAGAUUUACAAAUAAGUCAACAUGACCAAAAUGGUCAGUUGACCCCUUUAGGAG